Triticum dicoccoides is the source of this 1718-nucleotide long non-coding RNA. RefSeq lists it as uncharacterized. The transcript is spliced from 3 exons. Lineage: Eukaryota; Viridiplantae; Streptophyta; Magnoliopsida; Poales; Poaceae. The record is from RefSeq and is a predicted model, not a curated record.
UCAGCGAGUUAUCAAAAAAAAAAAAAAAGGGUCAGCGGCGGCGAUACGGCGAGCGAGCUCCUCUUCCUGCCUCGCCGCUGCUCAUCUUCCUCUCCGUCCCAUUGCAGGUCCACGGGACGGGAGGAGCCGCGGGCCGCUGCUCCUCGACCGGCACCGAGCAGCGCCACCGUAGGUCCACUCCGCGUGUCGCCGCAUGUCCUUCCUGUUGCCUCUGAUGGGGAUAAGACACGCAUCUGCGGAUCUGCCUCCGGUGCUCCACCACCUUUCCAUCAAGCUGCAGUCUUGCUGCGCUGGUCCUGAUGAAAUGCCUGUUAAAAAAUCAGCAGUAGAGAAGUCCAUAUUGUGCUCGUUUCACAGCUCAAGAAGGCACACUUGGUCAAGCAGGAUCUUAAUCAAGUUAACCAAUGCACCCAAGAUUGCCCAUAUCCCCAUCAAACCCUUGCGGCAUUGGUGAUGGGCCAUGCAGUCUAGGCACAGACAGACAGUUUCUGAUAUUAUUCUGAGGAGAUACACAUCCAUGUAUUAUGCGGAACAUGGCUUGAAGAUAGUGCUAAGUAGCUGGAUGCCAAAAUGGAUACAUGUUUUAGUGCUAUGUUUCAGUGUAAGAUGUUGUUGGAUUUUGUGGAUUUCUCUUCUCUAGUCAGGAAGCUAAGGGGGGAAGCUAGGGAUUUCUGGAAGAACCUUAUCUCCCGAUUCAUUCCUCCUUGUCUCAGUAUAUACAAACUACAUUUACAUUUUAACCCUUCUCACUUUCCUAUUUGCAACUAACUCCUCACAACACUCCCCCUCAAGAUGGGGUGAAAAUGUCUAAGAGCCCCAUCUUGCCACACAACUUAAAGAAGGAUACAACACUCACGCCCUUUGUUAAUACAUCAGCAAGUUGGUCUCCAGUUUUAACAAAACCUACUUGAAGUACUCCCUCAUCAAGUUUCUCCUUAAUAAAAUGUCUAUCAAUUUCGAUAUGUUUUGUUCUAUCAUGCUGAACCGGAUUGUUGACAAUGUUGAUUGCGGCUUGAUUAUCACAAUGGAGCCUGAGUGGUCCUCCUUUAAACAACCGAAGUUCAGUUAAUAAUAAUCGAAGCCAUAACAACUCACAUAGCCCUGAAGCCAUGGAUCGCAGCCCUGCUUCUGCCAUGGAUCUGGCGACAACACUUUGCUUCUUACUCCUCCAACUGACUAAAUUUCCUCCCACGAAGACGCAAUAACCUGAAGUGGAUCUCCUGUCAUCCAAGCACCCAGCCCAAUCAGCGUCUGUGUAUCCCUCAACUUCUAGAUGCCCAUGGUUGGAAAGGAGAAUUCCUUUUCCAGGACAACCUUUGAGAUACCGCAGAAUUCUAUUUACUGCAUCUAGAUGACCUGAUCGAGGAUCAUGCAUAUAUCUACUCACCAGGCUCACGGCAUAUGCAAUGUCUGGUCUAGUAUGGGAUAGAUAAAUUAAACGUCCCACAAGUCUCUGGUAUCUCCCCCUAUCAACAGGUUCUCCUGAAUUGGCUGUAAUACGAAGGUUUGGUUCAAUUGGUGUGGCAGCUGGUUUACUUUCAAGCAUCCUAGUUUCAGCGAGAAGAUCAAGCACAUAUUUCCUUUGAGAGAGAUAGAUACCUUGAGCUCCAUAAGCUACUUCUAUUCCCAGGAAGAAGUGGAGGAAGCCAAGGUCUUUGACUUCAAAUGAUUUCGCCAACAUUUUCUUCAAGUUCUUUAUCUCCACAUCAUCAUUCCCU